AAAUUUUGAUCCAUUUUCUUUUGUUAUUGUAAUUGUGUAUUUUAUUAAAAAAACAGUCACAAGUUUUUAAAUUCUUUUAAAUGACUAAAAGAGAUAAAAGUAAAUAUAAGAAUUUGAUGUAGGCAACAGUUUUUUUUAGAAAAUUAAUUUAAAUAAUUAAUAUAAUUUACUGUAGUUUACUAUCAUGAAGAGUUAUCAGGAAACUACUAUCAACGUAGAUACAAUUACGACAACAAUGAUCACAUUUUUACCUGAUCACACAACAAAUACAAUGCAUAGUAAAAAAAAAUCAUAUUUGUACAAGAUCACAUAACAAAUACAACGCAUAAUAACAUUAAUCUCAUAUAUAUUAGAACACACAACAGGUACAAUUCACAAUAAUAGCAUCACAUUUGUAUAAAAUCACACAGCAGAUACAAUUCACAUUAACAUCAUCACAUUUGUAUAAGAUCACAUAGCAGCUACAAUGCACAAUAACAUUAUUCUCAUAUGUAAUGAUCAUACAAGAGGAAAAGUGUAAAAAAAUCUUAUAGUCCAUAUAGUAGGGUUCACUAUCAUUUAGGUAGAUGAGAUUUUGAUCAUAUACACACCCUCACACACUUGAUAUUUGACUAAAUAGUUAGAUGUAUCACACAAUUUCGUACUAUUUAAAAUUUUCCUUAUAUUGACCCAAAUUUUUACUCAAUAGUCUUUAUUAAAUUUCUCUGAAGUUUACUACUAUGAUUUGACUUUGUGAAUGUACCUUCUUACUCUUAUUUUAUUUGAAUUUUAGUGAUUUUUUCUCUAAACUUUUGACCUUACGAAGAGUUUUAAUAUCUGUAUUCUCAAUUAAGUUUUUUCCAUGUACUCUCCUUAACUAUUGUAAAUUUCUUUUACUUUGUCUAAUAGUUAUUUGCGUAUUUUCUUUGAAUUUUUUACUAUGUAAUCCAAUUUAAAUUUAUAAAAUUACUCUAACUAAUUUUUUAUCAGGCAUAUAGGGUCUGCCUUUUUAUUUAAUUAUAAGUAUUUAUAACACUUUUCUCCCUUUUUUUCCUCGAUGUAUUACUACCCUUAUAAAGCUCUUUAUAGAUUUUUAUAUUAAGUCCAUUACCAAACUUCAUAAUUAAAUGUAGUGUUCCUCUGUGCCACUAGCCCAAACCCACUAGUGCUCUUUUAUUUGACCCAUUUCAAGUUCCUAACCACCCAGCUCAUCCUUUAACUAGGCCGAUAGCUCAAACUCCCUGUCAAACUACCAUUUUCUUUAUUAUUAUUAUUAUGUACAUUUUUUUCUUUUAUUUUAUUUCAUAAGUUACAUAAACUAGUUUCUGCCCACUAGUAAUUUUGGAGUAUUUUUUUUUAGUAUAACCCAUUUUCUAUAUUGGGUUUUAGUCUAUUUACAUACACAGGUAUUUAUUGGCAUACAUAAUAUUUUCAUCCAUAUAGUCAUGCACACACACUUAUAUAGCUAUAUAUAUGUAUGUAUCGAUUAUAUGUAUAUUUAUGAACCAACACACUUUCAGUAUAUAUAUAAAUAUAUACAGAAAAUACACACGUAGAGAAUGUAUACAUAUACUCAUACAUGCAUAUAUGUAUAUAUAUAUAUACUUAUUAUGUGUAUAUAUAUAUACAUAAAGCACACGCGCACACAUACAGUAUAUAUGUACUGACAUGCAGAGAUAGAUAUUUAUUCUUAUGCAUGUGUGUUAAUUUUAACUAUUAUGUCCGUAUGAAUAUAAUGGUGUAAAUCUCACUUAUUCUCUUCUUGUAUCCCUUAUGUAUUGGAUUCCGCUGGGGUGAAUCCUAUCUUAAUUUCUGCUUCCCUACAUCUGUAAAUAAACAUGAAUGAGCCUACACAUGCCCAUGAAGUCAAAUUUAAAUUUAAACAAUGUAUUGAAAUCAAUAAAAUUCCUAAAUCAGAGUUGCCCUCAACUCUCUCUCUCACUCUAGACAGUCCAUUUUUUCCCUCUAAAGGAAAAUUCUAGAUAUCUUAGACUCUCCCCAAAGCUCACAGGUACAAAUAGCCAUUAUCCAUUUCCCUGACUUGUCUCCAAUAGUCUUCUACUCUUUGUCAUCACUCUCCCACUCAAAUAGCCCAUUUACGCAACAUAUUUAAUAACCUACACCAGGUUAAUGUAUUCUAUAGUAAAGAAAAUCAAUAGAUAAUUUGACAAGGAAAUGAUGUAAAAUCCAACCCAUAUUUGGCCAUUCAUACUCGUACAACUAUUAACAGAACAUACAGCUUACAAAUGCAAUACACAAUUAUUAAUAAUACACCAGCUAACCACACACCCCCACAAAGUUGAUUCACACACCAGAAAUAACGACCCAUGUUUCCUUGGGAAGGUUUUCGGUUUAACACCAUAGUCCCCUAGAAGGCUGCCUAAUUCCUCUCCCUUUAUCGACCUUGUAACCAUUUCUAUUUAUUCCCAUAUCUCUCCAUCCAUUCUCUCCCUCAAACCCCUAUCAUUUAUUCACGAUUUCGUUUCUAAAUCAUUGCAAACAAAACCUACAUUCUGUUAUUUCCUCCCCUUAGCUCUCGCUCAAAAUAGGCCCUGAUUUUCCAUCUAUUUUAUUUCUCUAGUGUUCAUUCAUACUUUUUUCAUUUUUUUAUUCUUAAAUUAAUUUACAUUCUGCUGUCCCUCUCUCUUUAGCAGAUCUGAUUUACUUUUAGCCAUUCAUCUUUUUUUUUUAUUUUUAAGACCCUAACUGAUUUUCUCACAAAUUUUAGCCUUCUAUCAUGAAAACCCUUUCACACUCGAUUCUCUUACCUUGUUGCUGCAUCAUCACAUAUCUAUAUACAAUUUCAAGUUUAGCCUUUUAUGAUGCAUGAUCUAACAUUCUACUAAAAGUUCAAAUAUCUUCCCUUUUUUUUUCAACCCCAAUCAUUAAUACAUCCUCUGAAAGAAGGAAUUUAAAAAUAUACUUCUGAAACCCAAAUUUGUCUUACCUCCUGUCACUGCGUGGACGUUUACUUGCAAUGUUGGUUCUCCGUCAAGUCCUCCUUGGCGACACCGUAACGCAAUGCCAUCGGUACCUCUUUAGAUCUUCGUACUCCUUUCACCCAUCGUUCUCUCGAUGAGACUAGCUAUUUUAAGAUCCUACUUCUCUAAAAUCUCGUACUCAUUCAGCUUGCUCUCCUCUGAGUCAGUUUUACUAUCUCUCUCUCGCAAUCAACCCUCCAUUUUCUGUUAGGGUCCGCCCCCUCCCUAAAUGGUUGAGAAGAAGAAGUUUUUAUAAGGGUUGUGAGGACAUUUCGAUGUCAAGGGUAGAUCUGCAUCGUUGGUUUCAUUUCUUUUUUUUCAGUUCUCAAAUU
RNAcentral lists this long non-coding RNA (3292 nucleotides) under Carica papaya (papaya). RNAcentral's name for it is "long non-coding RNA (CPAP_LNC005230)". The record is from RNAcentral. Lineage: Eukaryota; Viridiplantae; Streptophyta; Magnoliopsida; Brassicales; Caricaceae.